GCAUGUCUAAGUAUAAGCAAUUAUACCGCGAAACUGCGAAUGGCUCAUUAUAUAAGUUAUCGUUUAUUUGAUAGCACAUUACUACUUGGAUAACCGUGGUAAUUCUAGAGCUAAUACAUGCUAAAAAUCCCGACUUCGGAAGGGAUGUAUUUAUUAGAUUAAAAGCCAACGCCCUUCGGGGCUCUGUGGUGAUUCAUAAUAACUGGUCGAAUCGCAUGGCCUUGCGCCGGCGAUGGUUCAUUCAAAUUUCUUCCCUAUCAACUUUCGAUGCGAGGGUCUUGUCCUCGCAUGGUUGCAACGGGUAACGGAGGGUUAGGGCUCGACCCCGGAGAAGGAGCCUGAGAAACGGCUACUACAUCCAAGGAAGGCAGCAGGCGCGCAAAUUACCCAAUCCCGACACGGGGAGGUAGUGACAAUAAAUACUGAUACAGGGCUCUUUUGGGUCUUGUAAUCGGAAUGAGUACAAUUUAAAUCCCUUAACGAGGAACAAUUGGAGGGCAAGUCUGGUGCCAGCAGCCGCGGUAAUUCCAGCUCCAAUAGCGUAUAUUAAAGUUGUUGUGGUUAAAAAGCUCGUAGUCGAACCUUGGGCCUGGCUGGCCGGUCCCCCUCACCGGGUGCACUGAUCCAGCCGGGCCUUUCCCUCUGUGGAACCCCAUGGCCUUCACUGGCUGUGCGGGGGAAACAGGACUUUUACUGUGAAAAAAUUAGAGUGCUCCAGGCAGGCCUAUGCUCGAAUACAUUAGCAUGGAAUAAUAGAAUAGGACGUGUGGUUCUAUUUUGUUGGUUUCUAGGACCGCCGUAAUGAUUAAUAGGGACAGUCGGGGGCAUCAGUAUUCAGUUGUCAGAGGUGAAAUUCUUGGAUCUACUGAAGACUAACUACUGCGAAAGCAUUUGCCAAGGAUGUUUUCAUUGAUAAGGAACGAAAGUUAGGGGAUCGAAGACGAUCAGAUACCGUCGUAGUCUUAACUAUAAACUAUGCCGACUAGGGAUCGGACGAUGUUAUUAUUUGACGCGUUCGGCACCUUUCGAGAAA
RNAcentral lists this ribosomal RNA (1033 nucleotides) under Scopulariopsis brevicaulis (arsenic fungus). RNAcentral's name for it is "SSU rRNA". It matches the Rfam family "Eukaryotic small subunit ribosomal RNA", at positions 53 to 1097 of the family's 1831-position model. Lineage: Eukaryota; Fungi; Ascomycota; Sordariomycetes; Microascales; Microascaceae. The record is from RNAcentral.